GUCGAACGAGUUCUCGUUGAUGAUCGGUGCUUGCACCGAGAUUCAACAUGGAACGAGUGGCGGACGGGUGAGUAACACGUGGGUAACCUGCCCUUAAGUGGGGGAUAACAUUUGGAAACAGAUGCUAAUACCGCAUAGAUCCAAGAACCGCAUGGUUCUUGGCUGAAAGAUGGCGUAAGCUAUCGCUUUUGGAUGGACCCGCGGCGUAUUAGCUAGUUGGUGAGGUAAUGGCUCACCAAGGCGAUGAUACGUAGCCGAACUGAGAGGUUGAUCGGCCACAUUGGGACUGAGACACGGCCCAAACUCCUACGGGAGGCAGCAGUAGGGAAUCUUCCACAAUGGACGCAAGUCUGAUGGAGCAACGCCGCGUGAGUGAAGAAGGCUUUCGGGUCGUAAAACUCUGUUGUUGGAGAAGAAUGGUCGGCAGAGUAACUGUUGUCGGCGUGACGGUAUCCAACCAGAAAGCCACGGCUAACUACGUGCCAGCAGCCGCGGUAAUACGUAGGUGGCAAGCGUUAUCCGGAUUUAUUGGGCGUAAAGCGAGCGCAGGCGGUUUUUUAAGUCUGAUGUGAAAGCCCUCGGCUUAACCGAGGAAGCGCAUCGGAAACUGGGAAACUUGAGUGCAGAAGAGGACAGUGGAACUCCAUGUGUAGCGGUGAAAUGCGUAGAUAUAUGGAAGAACACCAGUGGCGAAGGCGGCUGUCUGGUCUGUAACUGACGCUGA
RNAcentral lists this ribosomal RNA (724 nucleotides) under Lactobacillus casei group sp. RNAcentral describes it as "bacterial SSU rRNA". It matches the Rfam family "Bacterial small subunit ribosomal RNA", at positions 61 to 749 of the family's 1533-position model. Lineage: Bacteria; Bacillati; Bacillota; Bacilli; Lactobacillales; Lactobacillaceae. The record is from RNAcentral.